This 380-nucleotide ribosomal RNA is filed under the name Staphylococcus arlettae. Its description in RNAcentral is "bacterial SSU rRNA". It matches the Rfam family "Bacterial small subunit ribosomal RNA", at positions 153 to 520 of the family's 1533-position model. The record is from RNAcentral. Lineage: Bacteria; Bacillati; Bacillota; Bacilli; Caryophanales; Staphylococcaceae.
UCCACCGGGGCUAAUGCCGGAUAACAUUUAGAACCGCAUGGUUCUAAAGUGAAAGAUGGUUUUGCUAUCACUUAUAGAUGGACCCGCGCCGUAUUAGCUAGUUGGUAAGGUAAUGGCUUACCAAGGCAACGAUACGUAGCCGACCUGAGAGGGUGAUCGGCCACACUGGAACUGAGACACGGUCCAGACUCCUACGGGAGGCAGCAGUAGGGAAUCUUCCGCAAUGGGCGAAAGCCUGACGGAGCAACGCCGCGUGAGUGAUGAAGGGUUUCGGCUCGUAAAACUCUGUUAUUAGGGAAGAACAAACGUGUAAGUAACUGUGCACGUCUUGACGGUACCUAAUCAGAAAGCCACGGCUAACUACGUGCCAGCAGCCGCGG